GCCAAGCUAAUACAUGAACCAAAGGGGUGUUCUCUGUUCCGGUGGUGCUUGCAUCACCAUGGGACGCCCAGCGAAUGAAUGAAAGUAAAACCAAUGCCUUAACUGGCAGUAACAACCAGAAGUGUUGAAUCAAUUCAUUCCGUGCGAAAGCCGGGUUUUUACUCGGCGUCUUUUGACGAACAACUGCCCUAUCAGCCAGCGAUGGCCGUGUAGUGGACUGCCAUGGCGUUGACGGGAGCGGGGGAUUAGGGUUCGAUUCCGGAGAGGGAGCCUGAGAAAUAGCUACCACUUCUACGGAGGGCAGCAGGCGCGCAAAUUGCCCAAUGUCAAAAAAAAACGAUGAGGCAGCGAAAAGAAAUAGAGCCGACAGUACCUUUUGGUAUUGUCGUUUUCAAUGGGGGAUAUUUAAACCCAUCCAAAAUCGAGUAACAAUUGGAGGACAAGUCUGGUGCCAGCACCCGCGGUAAUUCCAGCUCCAAAAGCGUAUAUUAAUGCUGUUGCUGUUAAAGGGUUCGUAGUUGAAUUGUGGGCCUUUGAGGCGCAAUGGUUUUGUCCCGUCCACUUCGGAUUGGUGACCCAUGCCCUUGAGGUCCGUGAACACACAGAAACAAGAAACACGGGAGUGGUACCCUUCUGAAUUUCGCAUGUCAUGCAUGCCAGGGGGCGCCCGUGAUUUUUACUGUGACU
This 687-nucleotide ribosomal RNA is filed under the name Trypanosoma sp. 1. RNAcentral describes it as "partial large subunit ribosomal RNA". It matches the Rfam family "Eukaryotic small subunit ribosomal RNA", at positions 158 to 762 of the family's 1831-position model. The record is from RNAcentral. Lineage: Eukaryota; Euglenozoa; Kinetoplastea; Trypanosomatida; Trypanosomatidae.